GACGUAGGGCGCGAGCGUUGUCCGGAUUUAUUGGGCGUAAAGAGCUCGUAGGCGGCUUGGCAAGUCGGGUGUGAAAACUCCAGGCUCAACCUGGAGAUGCCACUCGAGACUGCUAUGGCUAGAGUCCGGUAGGGGACCACGGAAUUCCUGGUGUAGCGGUGAAAUGCGCAGAUAUCAGGAGGAACACCGGUGGCGAAGGCGGUGGUCUGGGCCGGCACUGACGCUGAGGAGCGAAAGCGUGGGGAGCAAACAGG
RNAcentral lists this ribosomal RNA (254 nucleotides) under uncultured bacterium. RNAcentral's name for it is "partial 16S ribosomal RNA". It matches the Rfam family "Bacterial small subunit ribosomal RNA", at positions 524 to 776 of the family's 1533-position model. The record is from RNAcentral.